AAGUCGACGGCAGCGCGGGGCAACCUGGCGGCGAGUGGCGAACGGGUGAGUAAUAUAUCGGAACGUGCCCUGGAGUGGGGGAUAACGCGGCGAAAGUUGCGCUAAUACCGCAUACGAUCUAAGGAUGAAAGCGGGGGAUUCGCAAGAACCUCGUGCUCCUGGAGUGGCCGAUAUCUGAUUAGCUAGUUGGUGGGGUAAAGGCCUACCAAGGCAUCGAUCAGUAGCUGGUCUGAGAGGACGACCAGCCACACUGGAACUGAGACACGGUCCAGACUCCUACGGGAGGCAGCAGUGGGGAAUUUUGGACAAUGGGCGCAAGCCUGAUCCAGCAAUGCCGCGUGAGUGAAGAAGGCCUUCGGGUUGUAAAGCUCUUUUGUCAGGGAAGAAACGGUUGAGGCUAAUAUCCUUUACUAAUGACGGUACCUGAAGAAUAAGCACCGGCUAACUACGUGCCAGCAGCCGCGGUAAUACGUAGGGUGCAAGCGUUAAUCGGAAUUACUGGGCGUAAAGCGUGCGCAGGCGGUUUUGUAAGUUUGUCGUGAAAUCCCCGGGCUCAACCUGGGAAUUGCGAUGAAGACUGCAAGGCUAGAAUCUGGCAGAGGGGGGUAGAAUUCCACGUGUAGCAGUGAAAUGCGUAGAGAUGUGGAGGAACACCGAUGGCGAAGGCAGCCCCCUGGGUCAAGAUUGACGCUCAUGCACGAAAGCGUGG
This 709-nucleotide ribosomal RNA is filed under the name uncultured bacterium. Its description in RNAcentral is "bacterial SSU rRNA". It matches the Rfam family "Bacterial small subunit ribosomal RNA", at positions 59 to 764 of the family's 1533-position model. The record is from RNAcentral.